RNAcentral lists this long non-coding RNA (19503 nucleotides) under Mytilus galloprovincialis (Mediterranean mussel). The record is from RNAcentral. Lineage: Eukaryota; Metazoa; Mollusca; Bivalvia; Mytilida; Mytilidae.
GACAUGAUUUGUUUUAAAUUAACUGCUCAGUGUAAAGUCAAACGUUGACUCAAAAAAAAAGAGAUUAUAAGUUUUGAUCUUAGAACACUGCAAUUUUCACAUACAAAUCUUUGCACUUGCAUUGCUAGCUCUGCCUCUGGGGAUUUUUUUUUAUAAGCAAUUUGUUGAUUUUAGAUUGUACAUGGUAUACAGUACUUGCGACAUGAAAGAAAUGAUGAAUAUUUAUUCAGAUGUGAUGCACAUGGGACAAAUCCUGGGUAGAACCUGAAACCCUGAACCAUGGAUUAGCUUUUUGAAGGUAAUUUAUCUAACAUUAGUUUACUUGCACUGAGAAAUUUGCAUGCCAUACACUUGUUAUUACUGACUUACAAUGUAGUGUUCUUAAAUUCUUUGUUAAAAUUUAGGAUAAGCUUACAAUAUGCAUCAGGUUUAUGAAAUCUUCAAAUCUUGUUUUUUUUUAAACAAAAGCAGAUACUUAAAAAAAAAAAACAUUGAUAAACUCAAGAUUUCUCUAAUUAUAAUAAUAAAUAAAUCACGGCUGACUUUUUUAUGCUCAUGUUCAGUUGAUGAAGUUUUGAAAAUAAAUCUCGUAUCCUACCUGUAAAUCUGCAUUGUUGCCAAGGUAUUUAUUUUGUUUCUUUUCAGGAAAUGGUUGUCAAUGAUGUUGCAUAUUGUCUUGGGUUUUAGUUGCAUGGGGAUAGUCGACUUACUGGAAAUAUGUGGACCCUAGUGAUUGUUGUCUGGUGGAAGAUGGCCAUUGACGUGAUAACUAAUCUGUUGGUCAUUGUGUAGAAGAGGGGCAUUGAAGAUAAAUAAGUGGGCAGUUUUAUCAUCUUUGAAUAGAUUUUCAAUGCAAUAGUUUCAAUUUUGCCAUAGAUAAUUGAAAAAGUUUCAGGUUCCAAAGGACAAUACCAUAUACUGGCAGCAAAUAAUUUUUUCUUGUGCAUUAUCCCUAUAUGCAUUUAGAUCCUUGAUGUCUGACGUCCUGCCUUGAUGUUUUCUUUUGUCUAUUAAUUUAGAUUUUAAACAACUUAUACUUUUUAUUCAUGGAUUUAUUAUUUGGAUUUUGAUUGUGCUAUCUAGUAAAACAUGCAGUGUUGUAGAAUUUUUUUCCAUUGGGACCAACAUCUUAGCAUGGGAAUGACCACCUACCUUCAUUGCAGAUAUUAGUGGGAAUGGAAUGCAAAGACUGGAAAAAAUAUGAUAUAUUAAAUAAUUUAAAACAAGAUUUUUUUCCUCCUUGACAGCCUUUGAUUAAUACAACUUAAAUAGCCUUGAUUUGACUCUUUCUGUUUGUUUCAGAGAUUCUUUCUUGCAUUUAAAAUUUCUGUGUAACCGCAAAGGAUUUAGAAUAAUAAAUUGCAUUAAACAGUCAUUGAAAUGGCAGGGAAUUAAAAAUAUUAUUUGCUAUAUAUUGUAAUCUUGAGUAUUUAUCUAGGUGAUGUGGUUUGUAGAUUAAUAACCCUAAGCAAUUCUUUAAAUUUUAGACGCAUUAAACAAUUGUAUCUAUACCUGCUAAAUCAUAUACAAGUACCUUGUAACUAAUAGAUUAAUUCACUGAUUUUUAUCCAAUCUAAUACAGAUUAGUUAUAACAGCUUUGUUGACCUUGAGCAAUUUGGUGUAAGUGUUUUGAAGUUUGUUUCCAUCUUAUUUCUCAGCACCAACCAAUGAAACUACAAAUGUCGGAAUGUGCAAGUAGACAAGUUACGGUAACGAUAUGAAAAAGAAUUUUCAGAAAUCCUGCAUCUAGGACUUCACAUAAGUACAAAUGUACACCACAGAUUUGGAUCACUUGUUUAUAGAAUUUAUUUAUUUAAUUGGACAACUUCUCAAAGAAAAGCCAAAUAAUAUGGUUAUAGCUAGGAUUGAUUUGUAGAAAUUUGUUGAAAGGAUUCACAAGAUAUGAAACCAUGCCAAUUUAUAUUGAAAGAAAUUAAAGUUGAGAAAGUUCACCUAUAAAUAUAAAAUACCAAGUUUGACUUGAUACUGAAACGAAUUCUGAGUAUUGGAUGUUUGUUGCAGGUUUCCAUUUCUGUUUUAAUUUAGAAAUCUACAAAAUGAAAAUGCAGGAAUGGCUGUAUAGUUUAUAUAAGAUCAGAAUAUUUGAUAAAAAGGGAUAGAUAUAUUUGGACAAAGAUGAGACCUCAUCCUUGAAAUUUUGAUAUAGUUUUCACACGCUGUGUGUUACCCUUUGAAGCUUUGUGGUGGAAUAGGGUUAUAUUUGGACAUACAAGCUAUUUAUACAUUUUACUAUCAGCUAGUAUACGUGUGCGGGAUGCAUCGGAUUAAUUAAAUUAUUUUAUAGUUAAGAGGACUAUCUUAUUGGAUAUAACCAUAAUAGAUGCAAGACAUCCCUCAAUAUAGAAGUACAUCCCUCAAAAAUGAAGGCUAAAUAUGGCAAAUAUGAUUGAACCAACAAGAAAACCAUUAGCAAGAAAAUAAAUGAUAAUUUGUUUAAAGAAUUUUAUAAUAGCUAUACUUCAGUUUGCAGACCAUAUCAACCUUUUGAUCUAGAUUCCUUUCAGAUUAUCUAUCCAUUGUUUCCAAACAGGUCUAAUUUAUGAUUUAGCAAGUGAGGAAAUGCUCGCCCAUUCUGCUGUAAAUGGACAAUGCUUCAUCUUAUUCUUGGGAUAUUUUCACAUGCUAUAACUGAAAGCUUUCACUGGACUAGGGUUGUAUAUUGGAACAGAUGUAUAUAAAAACUACAUAGAUUAACAACAAACUCAAAGUAAUUGAUUAGAAGCAAGUGAACCCUGAAAAAAACUGACGGGCAAUAAGGAUUGCACCAAAUUAAUAGGUAUAAAUAGGUCAUUUACAAAAUUUAUGAAGGUUUUAGCAAUUCAGAUGUUGUUUGGGAAAAUGCAGUCGGGAUUCCUUUCAGCUUAAAAUGUCGUAAAUCUAGUGUUAAAUUCAGCAUUUUGUGAGGCAAGGCUUGACCAUAAACGGCAUUCUGCAGUAAAUGGAUAAUACUUCUUGGCGUUUAAAUACUUGUAAUUUUCAUACCUUUUAUUCAGGCUUCCUGUAAUCAAUGCAGUCCAGACUUCAAGGAUAAGAUUUCUUCCAGAUUAAUAUGUCCUUUGCUUUAAUCCAAAUUCAAACAGAUCUGAGGUAAAAUUAAGCAUUUGUGAGGCAGUGCUCCACCUUUUCAAAGUAAAUGGAUAAUGCCAUGUAUCUCCUGCUGAAUAGAUCAAUUUUUGGAUUGAAUUCAUUUGAAGUCAAUUUUUUGCAAACCAUCUAUUUAGGUUACCAGAUCGAGAAACCCUUCAAGAUGAUUCUAAAAGCCAGUCAACACAAGUAGAUUCUUCAGGAUUCUUAUUGGUUGAAAUUAAUUGGUUCAUCUAUUUCAGAUUUUUAGAUGUAAUGAAAUUAUCAAAAGGUUUCUUUGCAUUCAGUCAACUUAAACAGGACAAAAAAAUCCAAAAAAGAAUUCUUAAUAUUCUAGGAAGACUAGUUUAAAUGUGCUGUUUGCCCAAAUAAAACCAAGGAAAAGAAGACUGAACUAAACAAAACCACUUUAUUUCCAAAUUAUAUUCAAAUGAUGUCAAAGGUUUUUGCAGUAAAAAAGAUUUAUUUAAGAAGAGACCACAACUGCAAUGGGAUUUCUUUCAGGUUUGGAUGUUAAAAAGAAAAGUUCUGGUGUUUGAUAUUUUGAAAAAGGAUAGAAGUACCUUUGCAGUUUUAUCCAGUAAAAUUUUCAGAUGUCUUGAUCAAAUAUAGGAACCAAAUCCCUAUUAGAUGCAAAAAGAAAUACAAUUUCAGCUCAAGCAUGGACUUUUUAAAAUUUUAUCAUUGCACAUUUCUAAUACAGUUGAACAUAACCAACAGCCCAUGUGGAUGCGCUCUUUAUGAAAUAUCUACCCAAACCGACUUGAAAUCAGUAAAGAAAAUGAAAGGUAUCGCAAUAUAAAUUUUAUCACAUUGGUCAAAACCCAUUAGAAGAUAAUAGGACACAGCUUAGAGUUGUAUCAACUUGUAUUCAAACUAAAGCGUCUUAGAAGAUUGUCAUAUUUCAGAUCCAGUUUCAAGUCUAAUGCUUAAAGUUAAAUAUAAAAUGCAGAGGUUUUCAAUAUCAAGAUGGAUUAUGUACCAACAUGUACCUAGUAGAAAUUUAUUUUAAUUUUAGACGUGCUUCCAUAUAAACAACAAAGCUUUAAAAGAAGGGGAAAGAAAAGCCACCCAAAGGACUAAUUAUAGAAUUAUAUCAUCACAUAGUCAAGCAAUUGUGGCUCUAAUAACAAAUUAUAAUUUUAGAAUUUGCAAGACUUCACUAACAAAGGGAAUAUAAAAAUAGGCAAAACUAAUCAAGAUGCUUCCAUAUCAGGUACAAGGCUGACUUUGCACUUCCAUAUGAGGUACAAGGCUGACUUUGCAAAGCACCAAUGGAAGAUUAAACUCUGCUAACCUAAUCAACAAUAUCAUAAGAUAUAUAAAGUCCUGUUUUAAGGUGUAACCAAUAUUUGCAGAGGGAAGUCAUAAAGGGAAGUAACUUGAACUCAUGGAUUUAUGUUUCUUUAUUGAAGUUCUAGCAGACAACAGAUCUACUGUUGGACAGCGUAAUAUUUUUAGGUUAAGCGAUUGGGUGUUCACAAUUUGAUAUUUCGACAAAGAACCCUUGCAGUACAGUAACUGAUGUUAAAAAACAAACUUAAUUUUUUUCCAAUUCAAACAGAAAUGUAUAUAUGCUAGCAUACAACUGAACUACACAACAUUUUUAGCCUUUUAAGGAAAAGAUGAAUAGUGUCAAUUGAUUCAAAGCUUUUGAGAAAAAGAAAUGGAAUGAAACCGAUUUUCAGGAGAAAAAAUGUAGUUUUAAUUGCAGAACCACUAUCAACAUUUAGACCCAUUACUGAAUUUGAUGAAGCUAAGUUGAGGCUUUUUAUAUAUUGUUUUCCAUUUACCAAGCCUGAAGAUAAUGUGUUCAUGUAUUCAGGCAACAAAUAUUUCUUUUCAUAGAAACAGUCGGGAGGCUCUUUUAAAAGAAGCAGUUUAAAAGCUGUAAAGAAUUCACAGGUUUAAGAUUUGGAAGAAGAGGUGGCCAUUUCAAGAAGAAACUAGUAUUUAUAUCCAUGAAUAUGCGUUCUUUAGUGUUUAAUUAGAUGUUCCAAAAUUUUAAUUCCAAGCUUAAUCAUGAAGUUAAUACAGGUCUCAAGUUAUAAUCUUGAAAACAUUGCAGAAUCAAAUAAUUAAUUAAUGCACUUUUCAAUUUAACAAGAAAUUUCUUUGAGUUGAAACAUUUUCUUUUUAGUUAUAAUUAUAAUUGCUAUAGUAUGAGUUUCUUAAUAACUUAAGCUUAAAUAUAUAUAUUCACAACUUUAAAUUAUGGAUGUUGCAUGAAGUCCGAAAGUUUAUAGUUGUAAAUCUUGAGGGUUUGGGAGGGAUUAAUCACUUCACUCUUAAUAGUGCUGUCAUUGUAUCAAGAUGCUGAAUGAAUGUGAAGCUUGCAUAUUUUGAUGAAUCGCUAGCCUGUACAGUGAACCAAAAAUUGGAGGUAGUGUUGUCUGUCUGUAUCAUUGAAACAAUUAUUUGCCUGAAACUUUUUUGAUUUGAUAAACAUUAAGCAUGUGUUCAAAAAAUUAUGGUUUCUUUUUUGUAAAAGACAUUUGAAAUGCUUUAUAUUCACUUUGAAAAUAUAGAUAUAAUCAAAUAACAGUAAUUAAUACUUAAAUAUUAUCAAAAUUUUUGUGAAUGUAUAUACAUGCUGGUAUGCAAAUGGGAGGGGUUGAUUUUCAGGGCAGUUUCAUUGUUUUCAUAACAAGACCUGCUGUGUGUUGAGGGAAAUCUACAUGCCACUAUGGUAGUAAGAGGAAAGGGAUUAAAGCUAGGUUAAUGGUCCUUAUCCAGAUAUAUGCUGUCUCCUUCAAUCCAAACGCCAGAUAAUAUAGAAGCUUAACAAAAUAUCUGCGGUAUGAAGUAGUUGUAAAAAUGCAUGAAAUAUUUAAAAAGUUUUGUUUAUAACUUUCUAAUACAACUUGUUUGAUUUCUCAUUUGGACAAAGAAUAAUGCACCUUUGAAGUUAUCUUGCUACCUAUAGUAUACUUAAUCAUCUUCAAAUAGCCUUUCAAUUUUUGCUUACUUUUGAAGUUAAUAUUUUCAAGGUAAAUUAAUGUAAAUAAAUUAUAGAUUAACUUCUAACUAUAAAUGCAUUAGUCUACAGUUGUAGUUUGGGGGAGGGGAUUAAUAUGCAAUAGAUUUUUUUGGCAGUGAAUGUGGUGAUCAUUAACAGCAGAUUUCUGCACAUGCACUAGGCCCAGUUGUGAUACAGCACAUCUGGAAUGGAGUCCAAUUUAGUAAUGAUAUGAGAAAAUAUGUAGUGUAUAUUCCAACAAUGGAAGCACAGAAAAGGUUGUCAAGUAUGUUAUAAAGAUCAUUAUGGGAUUGAGAAGUCUGAUGUAAAAUGUAUACUGUAUUGAAAGUAAGAACACAUUUAUUGAUAUACAAAUUUAUUGGUAAUUUACAGUCAUGACUGUUGAUAAAUAUUUUAUUGUAGAUUUUGAUUGUCAUGUUUUUUUAAAAAUUCUUAUACAAUGCAUACAUAUCACAAAUUGCUUGAUUAAUAGAGUUGUCUAAAGCAUGUUUAACAGGAAAAAUAGUCUUAUUUUGCUACAUUUGUCUGGUGUUUUAUAUCAUAUACAAAUAUAAGUUUUGGCAAAUAACAGUAUCAUUUGUAUUAAUAUUUUUGUGUGAUUGUUAAUAUCUAUGCAUCAGGAAGGGUUGAUUUUCAGUGCAUUUUCCAUGUCCUCAAAGAUCUGUUGUAUGUUGAGGGAAAUCUGUAUGCCACUCUAAUCAAAAGGGUAAUAAAUGUCGGUCCAGGCUGUCUUCUCUCCUAUCCCAAGAUGUUCCAUGCUAGAAGCUUUUUCACCAAAUCUGCGGUAUGAAGUAGUUGGUAAAUUUGCAUGAAAUAUUUGAAGUUUUGUUAGCUGUUUAAUAACACUUGAAAGGAUUUCUCACCUGUACAAAAAUAAAUGCACCUUUGAAGUGUACCUUGCUUCCUAUAAUAUACUUAAUCAUCUUCAAGUAGCUUUUUCAAUUUUCAUCAAUAAAUUAAUUUUCUGAAGUACAGUAUUAUAAAUGUAUGCUUAACUGCUAACUAUAUAAAUGCAUUAGUCUACAGUUGUAGUUUGGGGGAGGGGAUUAAUAUGCAAUAGACUUUUUUGGCAGUGAAUGUGGUGAUCAUUAACAGCAGAUUUCUGCACAUGCACUUGACCCAGUAUAAUACAGCACAUCUCCUGGAAUGGAGUCCCAUUUAGUAAUAACCCUAAUGAAGAUGAUACCAUGUGUAUAAUGAGAAGAAACAAAAUCUGUACAGAGAUGUGGAGUAAUAUUGAGUUCAGUUGGUAAGCCCAUUUUCUAAAUGGCAUUUUUGUUUGUUAAGUAAAAUAGAACUGUUGAAACUUUACAGAAUUUAUUUUUUAAAAUGUGUGUUGACAAAGAAAUUAAAUGUAGAAUUAAUGCAAAAUAUUUGUGACCUUAAUUAGAUAUUAAUAAUAACAGUAACAUGAUUAUCAGAUAAAAAGGUCUAAUUAAUUCAAAUUUUGAUACACUUCUGAAAAAAUUGAAGAAAUAUCUUUUUAGCAUAAAGGUACUGGAAGUAUACAGUAAUUUUGUAGUUAACUUUAUAAUCAUAAUGGGGGGAUUGGGAAUAUAUAUAUUUUUUAAUUGCUACAGAUAGCGAUAUUAUCAUGUACUCCUUUCCGUGACCAGUUCUAAAAGGAACAAUCUCUGUGGUCGUAUUUGGCCAGCAUCUGACCCUGUUGCUUUAAAGGGAAGAUAAAUUUUACAGGUAUUGUGUUUGAAUCUUAUUGUUCUGUGUUGAUCUCAUGAUUUAUGAUGAAUUCUUGUGAAUGGUAAUUUCUUUCCUUUCAUUGUUUCAGCAACUAAUUUUACAAAGAAAAUAGAUUUUUUAUGGGUUAUAUAAGAUUAAAAAUUUUAGGAAUCCAGCUUUUAAAGUUUGUUUUCAGGUCUGACAUGAAUUUAAAGGCAAAUGAGGAUUUGAUUUUCUAAAAACAAAUUUGGGUGGGGGUUUGUGUACUUUUAAUCAUUUAUAGUUUAUUGUCAGGAAAUGACUAUGUUGAGAGAUAAGAAAAUAGAUCAGUGACCCCAAGAGUGACCUGGUAACCAUUAUAACUUAUUUUGUGUUGUACUGUAUUUUAUUUAGUGUUUGAUUUUCAAAUGAAAUAUAAAUCAUUAUUAAUUUAAAAUCAAUUAAUUUCAUAAUAAUUUCAUAAAUCAUAUUUUUAUGUGGGAGGUUUCUCAACUUGCAUUCAAAAUUUUUUGUGAAUCAAACUACCUAAAAGUGGGAAAUUUGAUGGGAAAGGGCAACUAAUCAUAUCUUUUGUCAGUGAUACCUUUGGUAAUAGGAAGACUCAGCUUGUGAUUUGCUAGCUUAAGUUAAGUAUGAAAGAAACCUAGUAUGGGACUUAACAGAUUGAAUGCUGCUAAAUAUGUGAAAAUAUGCAGGUUAAAUUUCUUGAUGGGAAGCACAGAAAAGGUUGUCAAUAUGCAGGUUAAAUUUCUUGAUGGGAAGCACAGAAAAGGUUGUCAAUAUGCAGGUUAAAUUUCUUGAUGGGAAGCACAGAAAAGGUUGUCAAUAUGCAGGUUAAAUUUCUUGAUGGGAAGCACAGAAAAGGUUGUCAAUAUGCAGAUUAAAUUUCUUGAUGGGAAGCACAGAAAAGGUUGUCAAGUAUGUUUAAAGAUCCUCAUGGGGCAAAGGACAUCGAUGUAAAAUGUAUACUGUAUUGAAAGUAAGAACACAUUUAUUGAUAUACAGAUUAAUUAGUUAUAAUUUAUAGUUUUGACAAACAUGUUAUUGUAGAUGUUUGAUUGUCAUGGUUUGUUUUAUAAAUAUUGUAUCUCUUGAUAAUUUGAUUUAAACUAAAUCUUUAAGCAUGUUUAACAGUAAAGAUGAUGCUUCAUUUUGCAAUAAAUGUCUGAAAUUUUAUACCAUAUGAAAAUAUAAGUUUUGGCAAAUAACAGUAACACUUGUAAUAAUAUUUUUAUGUGAUCGUAAAUAUCUAUGCAUUGAGAGGGGUUGAUUUUCAGUUGCAUUUUCCAAGAUCUGUUGUAUGUUGAGGGAAAUCUGUAUGCCACUGUGAUCAUAAUGGGUUAUAAAUGUCAGUCCAGGCUGUCUUCUCUCCAAUCCCAAGAUGGUCCAGAAGCUUUUCCACUAAAUCUGCGGUAUGAAGUAGUUGGUUAAUUUGCAUGAAAUAUUUGAAGUUUUGUUAUCCUUUAAAUACCACUUGAAGGAUUUCUCACUUGUACAAAGAAUAAAUGCACCUUUGAAGUGUCUCUUACUACCUCUAAUAUACUUAAUAAUUUGAAAUAGCAUUUGAAAUUUUUGCUUAAUUUUGAAGUUAUAUUUCAGUAAACUUAAUUUUAAAUGAAAUACAGUUUUAAAAGUUUGCUUUUCUGCUAAUUAUAAUACAUUUGUUCAGUUUGAGGGAGGGGAUUAAUAUGAAAUAGAUUUUCUUGGCAGUGUUAUAUCUUAAUCACGAACAGCAGAUUUUUGCACAUGUGCUUUGCCUAGUUGUCAUGCUGCAUUUAUCUCCGCCAUUUCCAUCCUACUAAAAACCCUAAUGAUGAUGAUACUAUGUGUAUAAUGUAAUGAGGUGAAAAAGGAAAUAUGUUAUAAGAUGUGGAGUAAAUUGAGUUCAAAUUGGUAAGCCCAUUUUCUUAUUGUCUUGCUGAAGUUCAGCCAUGAUUUUGCAAAGUAAAAAAGAAUUUUAGAAUGCAGUAUUAAUUUUUGAGGACAAUUGAAAAGUAUUCAAAUGUAAAAUAAUUGUAACCAAAAUAUUAUAUUUAUAUCUUAUGAAAUGGUGAAAGAAAGAACUUGUUACUUUUGUUAAAGUUUUCAUCAGCAGCCUUCUAGCUUUUAAUAGUUUAUUUUGGAACAUGAAAAGAUAAAAUGAGUAUUUGAUCUUUUAGAAAUUAACUGGGGAGGGGGUUUGUGUAUUUUUAAUCUCGUAUAGUUUAUUGUCAGGAAAUAGAGGUUUAUUGUCGGGAAUUGUUGAGAAAUAGAAAAUAGAAAUGUGAACUGAAGAGUGGUAACCAUUAUAACUUAUCGAGCGUUGUCAUUAUUUUGCUAAUUGAAUAAUUCAAAUGAAAUAUAAAUCAGUUUUGAUAUUAACUUAUUUCAGUAUUCAGAUUUUAAUGUGGUGGUUUCUUGACUUGUAUUAAAAUUUUCUGUGAAUUAAGCUUUUAAGGUUAAUUAAUAGUGGGAGAGUGGUGGGGGAACUGCAUUACUAAUAAUUUAUUUGUCAAACUCCUUGAAAACAGCAGGUUAACUUGCAGUGAUAAGGCAUCCUCACAGUUUCUUGUAUUGAUCCUGCUUGAAAGAAUCAUUUCCCAUGUAAAAAUGUAAAGGUAUAGAGAGAUUAACACGUCCUGACCAGAUUAGUAGCUUAAAACUGCCUUAAAGUAGAGAAGUUCAUGAAAGAUCAUAUGCAUAACAAUGAGUUGUAAAAUGGUAACUUAUUUUUAUGUUGGUGUAUUAUGUAAAUGGUUUCAAACAUCAUGUCAAAACAAGUUUUCUCAUAUCUGUACUAUUUAAAUUGCAAACAUAAUUGAUAUACAAUCAAUUUUUGAUGAUAUCUGUAUUGUAAAUAAUAUCAAUUUUCUAUAAUUAUUUAUAAAUCUUAAUUUCUGUUACUAUAUUGUCAGUACAUUAAUUGGUCAAAUUAGAAAAAUAAGGGGUUAGGCUGUUGCUAACUAAUUUUUUACCAGCUAAGUAUGACCUGUGGAAGAAUGUCCUGAAAAAUAGAGUAAAGAAGCAUAGCAUGUGGUGUGACAGAAAGCUUGAAACCUACAGUAAAGUUAACAGAAAGAGGUUCAUUAUGAUAGCCUGUAUAAAAUAAUAUUUAGUGGAAAGACCCAGAGACAAAAGAAUAGUGUUUCUUUUCUCAUUAGAAAAAUUGAAAUUUGAAUAUAUUGAAUGUUUUUUUAUCUAUAGUAAAUAUAUAUCUUGUGAAAAUGUUGAGAAUUGUAUAGGUUAACCAAUGCUUAAUGAAUCAUUGUUAUCAAAACUUCUACUGGAUUAAUUUAUAUUUUAAUUAUUUGAAAUUUAUCUUCAGUUUGAACUUAUGGAUAAAAAGGGGUAGGGAAGGGUUAUGCUGAUAAUAUUCUUCUUGAAACUAUUUGAAUGACAGAUCAUGCUUGAGAUAUUGGACAGUUUGUAUUGAAGAAAUUUCCAUAAAUUAUACAGUAACAAGUUUGACCUGUAAAGUAAUAGCUUGAAAGUUGAACCUACACAGAAUGUUUGAGGGUAAAUAGUAAGUGGAUCAGAUUAUGCUUCAUAUUUUGUGAAAGGCGAUCUAAUUGUCAGUUAUCUUUAUCAGAUUGUUAUCUUUAUGUUCAAAGAUUAUAUCUUGUAUACAAAUAGAAAGUUAAAAUGUCAUUUCAGAAUUUAAAAUGAAUCAGUGUUAAAGUUGAAUAUAUCAAUUUUAGCAAAGUGUAAAUUAUUUAAGUAUGCAAAUCCUUUUUGUGUAGCUAAAUAUUUAGGUUUCUGGGUUAAAGUUGGGUUGGGGAGGGAUGGGGUAACCUAUAAUAUCUUAUUUGUCAGUGAACACAAGUCCUUGAAGAUACCAGAUUCACAUUCAGUGGAAAAGACCCUAGAUCUGCUUCCUGUGAUAGUCCUUGUACCCAGUUCCCAGGUAGAUAGAAAGAUGCUCCUUGUUCAAGAAAAGUUUGAAACUAGGUGUCAAAUUUGAAAAAGUUUCAUUUGAGUAAGCUGUGAAUAUGGCAUGAUUUAAUUUGUAAUAUAAUAUAUUUUGAGAAUUUAAGAAUGCUUUAAUAUUAGUAUAAAUUUAAAAUAUAUAUUCAAUAAUGGUUAAAAUUUAUCAGAUAUGUUAUUAAUAUUAAUAAGUUAAUUCAGAAACUGGGGGAUCGGGUAUGACUAACAUUUCUUAUUACCAGCAAAAGUUUCAAAAAAAAGGAUGGUAACGUGCGGAUAUUGGCCCAAGGGAUAGUACAUCCUGUGACCAAAAGGUUUGAAACAAGUACAGUAAAGUUUGAAUAAAGUGAUGUAUAAUAAAAGACCUGAAGCAGAGUAUGACAUGAAAAAGAGGCCUUGACAAAAGAAUGGUAUUUCUAUCAUAGUUAUCUAUAUUUUUUAUAUUAGAUUAUUUUUAUUUUAAUAAGUUGUGCUGUUGUAUUAUUAACUAUAUUAAAAAGAAAAUGACGUUUUAUUAAGUUGCAGAGGGUUUUUUUCUUCAUCAACUUGAAAAAUUUAUUAAGAACAAAUUAAACUAUAGAUUAGUGAAUUGUAGGAUUGUUGCUCUGACAUAUAUACAUUGUAGGUAUAAAGAUUUAAUGCAAGUUUGGUAUCUUUUGACAGUGAUUUAGAUGCUUAUAUACCCUUAUUGUAUGCCUUGAAAUGUACUUAUAUUUAUUGUGUGAUAUUUUUCAAAGCAUUUGUAGGAAACAUGAUUAAGCGUGAACGAGUAUAAAAGCUCUUGAAUUUGUUCAAUAUCCAUGCCUUAUGUAUAAAACUCAAUUAACCGGUGUUUUAGUUGCUUAAUAUACUUGCACUUAUUUAAAUUGAAAUCAUCUAAGUAUAUAAUAUUAAUAUUUUAUUUUAAUGUUUGAUUUUACUGAUAUUUGACUGACUUUAAGGGUGGGUGGGUAUUAAUUAAAAAGGUUUGCUUUUUUGGUAGUAUGAUUUUAACAGAUGGAUUGAAAUGUGUGAGAUGACUUAAGUGUUGUGCCUUGAUCUAGGUUGAAAUUGUGUAGAUCCUGUGAUAAAAUGUGACUGCUAAAAAACAAAAGUAGAUAUUGAAAUCUGUAGUGCCACUAUAGAAGCUUAUUGAAACGAGCCUACAUUACAUAUAAAGGUAUGAAAUGGUGUUGUUUGCAUGCUAUUAAAAUAUUUUUUUAUGGAAAAGAAAUGAAAAAUGAAAAAAAAAAACUGAAUUGGAACUUUGUAGGGUGGGUAGGGAAUACUAUGAAAUAUGAAUGUUCAAUGUGUUGGUAAUUUUUUGUGUGUGAUAUAAAUAAAAUUUUGACAAGAUAUAUAUGUAAAUAUCUUUUUAAUUGGAAGAAGAAAGAUAAAAAAAAAACUUAAAAAAACCUAAGGGGGGUGGGGUGAUUAUUAUCAGUCUUAAAUGUUCACAGUUAGCACCAUAAAAGACCAGCGAAAAGAAAAUCAUCAUUGUCCCUCCAACAGUAAAAGCAAAGAUGGUCAAACUAUAUUUAGCCUAUCUAGUUAGUUACUGAUGGUGUUUGUCAAGCUUUCACUCCUGGGAGCAAGUAAGCAUUUUACUUUCAUAGUUGCAGAAGACACUUGCAGUUUCAUGUAUUGAUAUUAAAACAAUUAUUAUAUUAGUUGAAGAUAACAAUGUUUCAAUUGAAUGAGAAUAAUGCAAAAUAAAAAGCUAUAACUGUGAUAGUGAAAGUUUAUACUUCAAGAUCAUAUUUAUAUUCCCAUUUGUCUUGUAAAAGAUUUUUCCUGAGAUUUUAAAAACUUUCAUCUAUAUACUUUAUAGCCAUACCAUAUGAAAAUUGAAAAAGGUAGAAAACAGUAGAUGUUGUAUGUAAAAAUUUGGAGGGGUGGGGUUGUAAUUUAAAUCAUUAGUAUUCCACAGUGUGAAGCAGUUGAAAAAGCAUCAAUGGUCCAUAAAGUUCCAGACAAUAUAAAAUUGAUAUAGGUGGUCUAAGUUUUUACUGAUCAAGUACAGUGGCAAGUACACAAAUUUUAUUACUCUCAUGAAAUUGAAAAGUUUUCCUUUUGUUUAUAGGAAUAUUGUUGUUGUAUCAUUGUAUUUGUUUUUAUUUUUCACUGUAACAAUUGUAUUUAUUCAGUAAAGAAAAGAUUUUGUAUUCUAUUUCUAUUUAUACCUAUCUUUGCUUUGUAGAAGGUUUUUUUAACCAACACUAAAUCAUUAUGCAAAAUCGGGAGGGUGGGAGAGUACAAAUUUCUUUCUUUUAUAGUCUAGACCAUAUUGGUUAAUGCUUGUGUUAUCUAAUGAGGUAUGGCAGUGUAGCUUUGUUGGUGUGUAACAUAUUCCAAUAUUUGACCAGUGCAUGCAUCACAUUACUUGUAUUAUUUAAUUUUGUAACUGCAUACAAUUAGCAAAACACAUGCUCCCACUUUAAUAAUAAGUGUCACCAGUUUAGUUUAAUUCUUGGAUAUUGGUUCUUUUUAAUCAUGUUGACCUUUGUUUUUUACAUACUAACCAUUUUCAUAAUCUGAUUAUUCCUUAUCAGUUAGUCUAGAAGUGUAGCUCUCAACUUGUAUGAUUUGUAUUGUCACUUUCUGAUGGCUGAAGUUAUUUCUAUUCAUAAGGUCUUUCCUUAUGUAUUAUAACAGGUUGGCUGCUUUUGAAUUUGUUUUCAAUAUUUUUAAUCAUUUAUCCACAGCUCUUGCUUUUUGUACCUAAAUAGUAGGCAAGUGAAGGUAUGCAUUAAUUUUUCCCAUUAUUUAUAUUGUGUAUGUUUGUUGAUGUUUAAAUUGAUUUACAUAAUUUUUUUUCAAAGUAUUGUAAAUAUCAGCAAUAAGUGGAUUUUUUUAAAAGGUUUUAAGAGUUGAGAAUAAUAAAUAAAAGUGGUGUGAAAAUUUUAAAGGGGGGGUGUAUAAUAAUUCUUAUUCACAGUAUUGACCGUUCAAGACCAGUGAAAAGUGAAGCAAUAUUGUCCCUCCAUGAAAAAAAAAUGUUGCCAAAACUGAAACCUGCCUGUCUAUUAGACUUUUGAUGCUGUUUGUCAAGCUUUUGCUUUGGGAGGCAGGUAAACAUUGAUUUGUUUUUGUCAUGCUUAAAAAAUUAGAUAAAAAGAACAAUUAUUUUACUACUAUAAAAAUGUUAAUGUCUAAAACAUAUUACAUAUGAGCAUAAAUGAUAACAUAACAGUAAUAGUGAUCAUUCUAUUUAUUUUAUUAUUCUGCUAGUCUUUUGAAAGAUCUUAUCUCAGAUUUAAAGGUAAAUAGAUUAAGACAUAUCAUAUUGAUGUUUGAAAAGAGGUAGAAAAACGUACUUGUAUAUGAAAUUAUGGGGGAUGGGGACUGUUAAUAAUCAUUAGUUUUCCAGUGUGCAUCAUCAUCAGAAGCAAGGUCCAUCUUAAAGCUCCAGACAAUAAAUAAGAUUGUAAUGAGCAUGUCGCAUAUAAAGCUAUUUCUGAGGAGCUUCAAGUACGGUGGCAAGUACACAUAUAUUUAUCAGUUGCAUACUUACCAAUAUAACAGAUCCAAUUUUAUUGCACAAUACUAAUUAAAUGAUUCCUUCUAUUAGUUUGAAUAUUUAUAAUGAAUACAGGCAUUUUACAUAAGAAAAUGUUGCAAUUAUAUUGUAAUGCAAGGAUUUUAUAUUCAUAUUUUUUAUUGCGAAUUUAUUUUCACUACAAUUGUAAUGAUGUUGGGUGGUUGGGGUUUUUGACUAACAUUGAUUUGUUUAUCUCAAAAGCACAGAUUGGAUUGAAAAUCCUGUAGUAUCAUGUCAGUAUGAAGAAAGUGGAAAAGUUGGUUGAACAUAAGUGGUAAAUUGUUAUCUGUAGUAGUCAUUUAAAUUGUAAACACUUCAGAAUUUACAUUUUAUUUUGACCUACUUUGGUCACUUUGCAGUGAAAAUCAUAGAAAGAUAUGCAACAAUUAUAAUUAUCUGAUGAGGAAUGACUAGUUUUGUUCUUUUAGAUGUGUUAAAAAUUCCUCGCUAUCUCAUCACUUUUGUUUUAUUAAUCUUGGCUUUGUAGAAAGUUUUUAAACAUGCUGUAAAUCAUGAUACAGGAAGGGGGAGAGGGAGUUCACAUUUCUUUCUUUUGCAGUAUAGCCUUUAUUGGUUAACCCUUGUGGUAUCUAAUGAGGUAUGGCAGUGAAGCUUUGUUCUUAUUAUUGUGUUACAUAUUCCAGUAUUUUACCAAUGCAUGCAUCACAUAAUUUUAUUUUUGUAACUGCAUACAAUUAGCAAAUCACAUGCUCCCACUUUAAUAAGUGUCACCAGUUUAAUUACAUUCUUGGAUAAUGGUUCUAUUUAGUCAUGAUUUUUUACUAACCAAAUUCAUAAUCUGAAUAUUCCUAGAUAAUCUGCUAGUGAAGCUUUUUUUACCUACAUGAUCUUGUGUUUGAGUGUGCAAAUUGCCAUUAUAAAUAUGGAAUAAUGGGGUGGGGGAGUUCACAUUUUUUUCUUUUGUAGUAUACUUGACCUCUAUGGUCAUACUGGACCGCUAUGGUCAAUGUACACAGUUAUCUGGUGAGGAGUGAUGGUGAAGCUUUGUUCUUGUUGGUGUGUUAGAUAUUCCAGCUAUUUACCAGUGCAUGUAUGGCGUAACUUUUAAUUUGUACUUGCAUACACUAAGUAAAACAUAUGCUCCCACUUUCAUACUAGCUAUCACAACUUCUUGGAUAAUGGUUAUAUUUAUUCAUGUUGAUCUUUGUUAUAUUUAUUUACUAACAACUUCCGUGAUCUGAAUUAUCCUAGCUAGUGUAGCUUUUAACUUUUUGUUGACAAUGUUGAGAUUUUGUUGUCUUACUAUUAGUUAUACUUGAUAUUGUUUUCCAUUUUGAUGUUUUUUCAUCCUUGUAUUUAAAACACAGGAACUGCGCUUGGAUUGCAAUCGGUUGUAUUGUUUGAUUUUUUUCUAUAGCACUAGCUUCAAGUUUCUACAAGAUAUAUAAGCCAAUUUUAGAUUAUGCAUUUUCUAGUUGUAAUAUUUAAAAACCUAUAUCUAUUUUAUUCUAUUUAUAACUUUUUAGGGAUUUUUUUUUAAUAAUCCCAUAAAUAACAUUAGGUUUGCAGAGAGUUUUUAUUUAGGUCGCUGUAUCUGUGUGCCAUGUUUAUGAAAAUGGACCAGCCAAUGAUGUAAGAAAAUACUUUUGGGAGAAUAAAAGGAGGUGAUUUUGGGAGCCUGACCUGGAAGUAAUGUUUUUUUUUAACAUAUUUGUUUAUAUUAUAUCAAUAGAAGAAAUUUUUCAACAAAAAGUUCAAUGGGCUUGAAAUUUCUUUUAUCUAAGAUUAACUAUUGAUUCAUAAGUUAAAUCUUUAUAUGCCAAGAUUAUGAAGAUAUAUAGAAAUUGAAGAAAAUGUAAUUAAAGGGAUGGGGCGAUGAUAAUAAUUUUUAUUGUUCAGUGUAAACCAUAUAAGUCCAGUGAAUAGAAUAGCUACAAAGUCCUCUGUAUAAACCUUGGAAGGUAAACAUGAAAUAUGCCUGUCUAGUUAGAUAUUGAUGCUGUUCCGCGAAAGGCAAGUAGACAUUAAGUUGUUACUUUCAUACUUUGAAGUAUCUUGCAACGUUUUUUGUUUUUUUGUAACAAUUAUGUAGGAGUUGUAAAUGACUGUUUCCUUUGAAUGAGAAAACUGCAAAGUUGCAUUUAAAUGUAUAUAAUGGAUUAGCAAUUACUUAAUAUUAAGAGGUUGAAAAAUACAAUUUAUAUUAUGUAUAAUAGAGGGGGGUAGGGGAAUGAUGAUAAUCAUUAGUAUUCCACAGUGUACACCAUUAUAAAAGGCGGCGAGUGUCCAUCAUAAAGUUCCCGGCUAUAUAAAAUUGAAACUGGCAUGUCUAGUAAGCUGUUGACUCUUAGCUUUCAAGUAGAGUGGCAAGUACACAUUAAUAUAUUACUUUCGCUACUUUCAUGCAAAUGAAAUGUUUUAUCCUUACUGGAUUUUUUUUUGAUUUUUUUCAUUCUUUGUAUUAAAGAUUGUUACUGUAGAACAAUUCUAAUGUAAAAUUGUAAUGCAAUGUUUUUUUUUAGUAGUGUUAUUUUUGAGAUUAUAUCUUUUUAUACUAGUAGUUUACUGAUGUGGGUGGGUGGGGUGAAUUAUAUGUUCCCACUUUAUUUGCCAGAAAGAAGUAAAAGUUGAGCUGAGAUCAAUUGAAGAAAAUGGUAUGAAUUGUCAGAUUUAUUUCUGUCUUGUUAGUUUUGCAUUUUUAGUUUUAAACAUUUUGAUGUACAUUUGUAAAAAAGGAAGCAGAGUUCUUUAUUAGAUAAAAUCAAGAAAAUUUAUUUGUCAAGAUUACAGGUGAAAGUGGCACAUAAACUAACUAUAAAAUAAGAAAUUAUUUGUUGAUAUUUCAUCAAAAUGGGUAGGGUGGGGAUUUGACUAAUAUUGAAAUUUUUUCUCAGAAAGAAGCAUGAAAUGGAUUUAAAAUCUGAAGUGUAGACAACGGUAAAAUUAUUAAAUGAUGUGAGCGUUUUUAAACCUCAAAGGGUUCAAUAAACAAUAAUAUAAUUUGUAUACACUUAGGAAAGAAGAUUUAGAUUUUUAUUUUGACCUAUUUGUUAAUCUUGCAAUGGAAAUGACAAUGUUUUGCAGUAAAUGAUGUUUUUCACUUUGGAAUAAGGGGGUGGGUAGUUCACAUUUAUUUCUUUUGUAGAACAUUUAUAUCUGGUGAGGAAUGAUGGUGUAGCUUUGUUCUUGUUGGUGUGUUACAUAUUCCAGUAUUUUACCAGCAUGCAUCACUUUAAUUGAUUUUGUACUUGUAUACACUUUAGCUAAAAAAUAUGCUCUGUGACUGUCUUUCACAGAUGUCACCAGAUUAGUUAAUUCUUGGAUAAUGGUUCUUUUAAUUGUGUUGAUCUGUUUUAUAUUAUACUAACCAAUUUCAUAUUCCUAGAUUAUCAGCUAGUGCAGCAUUGAACUUUAUGGAUAUAUAAUAUAUGUGUAGUGUCACGUUCUAAAUGCUGAAGUUGCUUUUUAUUUUGAGGUCUUUAAUCCUUAUUUAUGAUACCAGGUCCGCUGCUUUUAUUUUGCAUACUCGGCAUUAAUGAUUUAUACCCAGCACAUUUAUGUAUAGAUAUUUGGUUUGUCACAAUCUAAGCUUUUUAAUUUGAGGUCUUUAUUGAUAAUCAUUCUGUAUUAUAACAGGUCAGCUGCUUUUGAUUUGUGUAUAUGUCGUCAUUAAUGGUUUAUCCAUAGCACUUUGUUUAUAUACAUAUGCAAGUUGGGUAGCAGAAAUUUUUAUUUCAGCAAGCAUGAAUCCGUGAUGGAGAAGGUAGAAGUAAAUAUAUGACCAAGGAAGGCAAAUAAGAUAACUAUGCAAGGGUCCUGAUCUUUGGCUUACUAAAAUUGGCAUGCAAGGAAGUGAGACAACACUGCCAGCUGGUCAGAGCAGAGGAUAAACCUACCUCCCUCUCUCUCAGUUUGGCUUGAAAGGAGAGAGUAAGGGUUGGGUAGCCGGCUCGCAGCAAUAACCUGUGCACAUUAGACUUCCAAAAUAUAAAUGUCUUUUAGCAAAUUUGUUAGAAUUAAUUGAUCUUUCAACUAUUGUUCAGUGUUCAACUUAAAUAAUGCUCAUUAUGGAUAAUUUGGUAACAAACUAAACAUUAUAUUUAAAAAAAAAAUGCUUCCAAAAUAUAAAAGAACGUUCUCAAAAUGUUGUAUUCAGUAACUUUAUUUAGCAACAUCAAUAAUGGUAAUUUUAAACCACUUUAAUAAGCUAAAAAUCUAUAUAAAAAGACUAGAUAAAAAAGGAAAAAGAUUUUGAAGAAAUGGAAUGAUUUAAAUAUUGUUAAUUGUGCAGAGUACUAGUAAAAAAGAAUUGUAAAUAUUAUUAAAUUAUUGAAUAAAAUUUAUCAUAAAACAUAA